UUAACUUCACUGGGCGGCUAAAGGAACGUGGCUUUGAGUGUUGAUCCGAACUGAAAUCACGCUCAAAAUCACCUUACGGUGCAGACUGUCACUGCAUUCUUAAGGGGAAAACGUGCUGUAGAAGCUAGCGCCUUCCAGCCAGACAGAGCUGCUGAGAGGAGCCAGUCCCCCAUCAGAGCCAGAGCUGCUGAGAGGAACCAGUCCCCCAUCAGAGCCAGAGCUGCUGAGAGGAACCAGUCCCCCAUCAGAGCCAGAGCUGCUGAGAGGAACCAGUCCCCCAUCAGAGCCAGAGCUGCUGAGAGGAACCAGUCCCCCAUCAGAGCCAGAGCUGCUGAGAGGAACCAGUCCCCCAUCAGAGCCAGAGCUGCUGAGAGGAACCAGUCCCCCAUCAGAGCCAGAGCUGCUGAGAGGAACCAGUCCCCCAUCAGAGCCAGAGCUGCUGAGAGGAGCCAGUCCCCCAUCAGAGCCAGAGCUGCUGAGAGGAACCAGUCCCCCAUCAGAGCCAGAGCUGCUGAGAGGAACCAGUCCCCCAUCAGAGCCAGAAGCUGCAUUAAACAAACAUGUAGACAUACACAACACACUCACACAGUACGUACAUACGACCAAGAAAAUAUGCAAGCUUAACCCUCAAUUCACAAUUUAAUGGUUUAAUUUAUUUACCAAGUAGCCUAAAUUAUACACUAACUGAAGAAGAUGCAAUAACUGACUCACAAAGCCUGCUGCUUUAUAUGGAGACACUACCAUUUCAAUAUCCUUUCAAUCUACCUCUCUCUUCCUCUCUCUUCAUCGAUGUUAAUCCUUCGCUCUCUUUUUCCAUCUCUCACACACACACACACAGACAAGAACGUACAAAACCCUGACGCAGUGUUUGUGAGUAAGCAUAGAGGUGAUGUAUAGUUUAGCUCCCACAUUAGCAGGCGCCCCUGCUGGUGUUUGGGAUUCCACUCCCCACACCACACACACACAGCCAGAAUCAUCUGCCACCCCAGAUCCUCCUCUGUUUCCCCCUUCAUCCUCAACAACUUUUACCCCUGGAGGGCCCUACCACACACAACCCCAUCUCACACACACACCAGGGCCUCUGAUCAGUGUGGCUGCCGUGCCUACUAUCUGAUGUCUUAAGCUCACUGCAAGAGACAAGACAACACUGCAGAUCAUAUGGCUGAGGGGUCGCCUAUUUACUGUAUAUGGAGGGAUUGUCAGAGUGGUUAUUUGAUCCCAGAUGAUGCACAAGACUUGCAAUUUAUAUUUGUGUACAAUCAAUAAAACAAGAAAAUCAUG
Molecule: long non-coding RNA, 1281 nt
Organism: Coregonus clupeaformis (lake whitefish)
Lineage: Eukaryota; Metazoa; Chordata; Actinopteri; Salmoniformes; Salmonidae
Exons: 2
Source: RefSeq, a predicted model, not a curated record